RNAcentral lists this long non-coding RNA (498 nucleotides) under Setaria viridis. RNAcentral's name for it is "long non-coding RNA (SVIR_LNC010193)". Lineage: Eukaryota; Viridiplantae; Streptophyta; Magnoliopsida; Poales; Poaceae. The record is from RNAcentral.
CAUCCAAGCCUGAAGAAUGGUCGACCUUGAACAAUAUCCUGUCUGUCCAAGAAGGCACUCUUACCUGCAGAAGUGAAGAUCACAAGCAUAACACGUAAGAUUUUCAAAAGCUUCGGUUGGUUCAGUCUGCAACUUGGCAUCUGGAAGUGAUGUUAAUUCAAGAUACCUUAUGACUUGUAUCGUAGAUGCUACUUCCGACAUCGUACUUGUAUGUUGGCUUAAACGACAGGGUUCCUUCGUAGUAUCCAUUGAACACUUCGCCCUUUUCAGCUUCUUGAAGAAGCUGAUCUUUGCCUCUUAGCUUCUGAAACAAGACAUAAAUGUGAGGCACUGCUACAGUCUGAAUUCUGAAAACUGGCUAGUGCCAACGAACACUUACACUCUGACGAUUCUCCUCAAUCAUCUUCCUUGCAGGUAUCGAGCUUAUUCCUUCGAGUCUAUAAUUGAGAUCACCGAGCCACACUGUUAUGUCUGCGGAUUGGGCAUACGGUUUACCGU